CCAAUAAUUUUGAUUAAAAGAUUAAAUUACCUUAGGGAUAACAGCGUAAUUUUUUUUGAGAGUUCUUAUCGAAAAAAAAGAUUGCGACCUCGAUGUUGGAUUAAAAUAAAUUUUUGGUGUAGAAGCUAAAAAAGUAGGUCUGUUCGACCUUUAAAAUUUUACAUGAUCUGAGUUUAAAUCGGCGUGAGCCAGGUUGGUUUCUAUCUUUAAUUAANCAUAAUAUUUUAGUACGAAAGGACCAAAUAUUAAUAAAUUUUAUUUUAUAUUGAAUAG
Molecule: ribosomal RNA, 273 nt
Filed under: Anemadus smetanai
Lineage: Eukaryota; Metazoa; Arthropoda; Insecta; Coleoptera; Leiodidae
Description: partial 16S ribosomal RNA
Rfam family: Bacterial large subunit ribosomal RNA (bases 1-205)
Source: RNAcentral